RNAcentral lists this long non-coding RNA (1796 nucleotides) under Mus musculus (house mouse). RNAcentral describes it as "long non-coding RNA chr11:11771130-11772926". Lineage: Eukaryota; Metazoa; Chordata; Mammalia; Rodentia; Muridae. The record is from RNAcentral.
UCAGCUCUCCUGACAUAUAGGGCUUGAUCAUUACUGGUAGGGAUUGUUCUGUGAAUUGCUUACUACUACCCCUGGUCUCUCCCCAGUAGAUGCCAGGAACAUUCUAGCUGAUACCUAACUGUCUUCCCAGGUGUUCGAGGGAGCAAACCACUGAUCUAAACUCUAAACGCUGAAGUACGCAGGUUUUCUAAAAAUGACAAGCCCUUGAAACCUUUCCCAGUAGGCAGCCUCGAGCUGGACUUGUGUCUUUGGAAUGCUGAUGAAUUCUAUAGAUCAGCAUUGCAAAUACACUUCAAAUACGUCUGAGUUCAAGUGCAGGGACUGAGUUCACCAAGGUGUGAAAUGUGCUCAAAAAGUUCAAAAGUGUGUGUUUCUUUGUUUCUAAAACAUUGUGGCAUCUUUUUCAUUUGUUUCUAAAACUUUUUUUUUAGAAACAAAUGAAGCACUUGGAAAGUGAAAGUAAAAUUACAAAUAUAAGGAUUUACACUGAAGAGAGAAAAAUUUUAGGAACUAUAGCUGUGAAAAGAUUUUGUUCAAAAGGCAGGCUAGCCUUACCCAAAUUCAUAUAUGGCAGGUGUCAACCUCCCAAGCUUACAGUUAGCAGGCAGCUUUUGCUCACUCAUCCUUAGCCAUGAGAGCCAUUAAGUGUGGUCCAAGAAAGAUGGCUCCAAACCCUACCCCCGACCCACCAGUGGUAUUCAGAGAUUAAAGCAGAAUUGUAAAUAGUGGCUUCAGGAGCUCUUUUUUAGAAUGCUUUGCCCCUUCCUCUCACUGCCUUUUUUAGCCAAUAUAAAUGUCAAUUUGCACACCUUUUGUUGUGGUUUUAUAUUGUAACAGCAUUUUUUUGAAACUAUUGUAUUUAAGAUAAGGUUUCAUAUUAUGUCCACAAGUAAUUAAAUUAUGUUUGAAGGUGGCUAUAUGCUGUAUCAGAAGUUGAUGAUGUUUUUCUUUAGCUGGUAAAGGAGGGUUUUGCAUGACCUCACUGUUUGUUCUGUGGUUUGUUCUGUUGUAUGAUGUGUGUCUUGAGUUUUGCUGUGUGAUGAAGUGCGCUGAGAUUCCAGUGCCCUCAAGUUGUGUUUUAAGUAGCUAUCAGAGGCAAGAGGGUUCCUAAGAGCAGGUUGACCUGUUGGCGACAGAUGGCAAUCACCAUUUCUCAUUCCUUCUUCUCCCUGUUACCCCAGCUUCCUGUCCCAGGUCCCUUCUGUGAUUCUUACCUUAGUGUGCAUGUGUGUCUGUCCUGGUGAGAGUCAGGAGCAUCGAUAUGUUAUCAUUGCAUUAUCACCAAGGGCACGCACAGCCUAGCACCUGUUGCUUCAGAUACCGUCACACUCUGUUUCCAAUUUAGAUACAACCACAUAAUAAAAUGUUAGAGUCUUCAAUGGGAAGCAGAGGUGCUUGUUAUAAAGAUGGGGGCUUAUGCUUGUGUCACAUUUUGUGUUCUUUUCUUCUUUUGUUUGGUUUUAACUUAAUUGUGACCCUUGUAACAUCAUCUUGCCAAAAAAAAAAAAAAAGUUGAACUGGAUUUAUGUAGACAUGUCAAGACGUACUAUCUAUUUCUUUGUCAGUUAUAGCAAUAAGAGUGGAUAAACUCUAAAAUCCAGAUCUCCCACAAUGAACAUCCGUGUUCUUUCUAUGAUUUUUCUUUCUUUAUGGUGAGCCACAAUUAAACUUGAGAUGUACAGCCACCCAAACCCAGGAAGCUCAUGUGCAUCUGGUGCUAUGGCACUCACUGUGAAUAAGUGUGACCAGAUAUUAAUAUGCAAUAUUGUUUCCAAUCCUUUCUAAUACAUUUUUUC